RNAcentral lists this ribosomal RNA (429 nucleotides) under Chloroflexota bacterium. RNAcentral describes it as "Chloroflexi bacterium partial 16S ribosomal RNA". It matches the Rfam family "Bacterial small subunit ribosomal RNA", at positions 355 to 776 of the family's 1533-position model. The record is from RNAcentral. Lineage: Bacteria; Bacillati; Chloroflexota.
UGGGGAAUAUUGCACAAUGGGCGCAAGCCUGAUGCAGCCAUGCCGCGUGUGUGAAGAAGGCCUUCGGGUUGUAAAGCACUUUCAGCGGGGAGGAAGGCGUUAAGGUUAAUAACCUUGGCGAUUGACGUUACCCGCAGAAGAAGCACCGGCUAACUCCGUGCCAGCAGCCGCGGUAAUACGGAGGGUGCAAGCGUUAAUCGGAAUUACUGGGCGUAAAGCGCACGCAGGCGGUCUGUCAAGUCGGAUGUGAAAUCCUCGGGCUCAACCUGGGAACUGCAUUCGAAACUGGCAGGCUAGAGUCUUGUAGAGGGGGGUAGAAUUCCAGGUGUAGCGGUGAAAUGCGUAGAGAUCUGGAGGAAUACCGGUGGCGAAGGCGGCCCCCUGGACAAAGACUGACGCUCAGGUGCGAAAGCGUGGGGAGCAAACAGG